This 492-nucleotide ribosomal RNA is filed under the name uncultured bacterium. Its description in RNAcentral is "partial 16S ribosomal RNA". It matches the Rfam family "Bacterial small subunit ribosomal RNA", at positions 29 to 507 of the family's 1533-position model. The record is from RNAcentral.
AGUGAACGCUGGCGGUAGGCCUAACACAUGCAAGUCGAACGGCAGCACAGUAAGAGCUUGCUCUUACGUGUGUCGAGUGGCGGACGGGUGAGGAAUACAUCGGAAUCUACUUUUUCGUGGGGGAUAACGUAGGGAAACUUACGCUAAUACCGCAUACGACCUACUGGUGAAAGCAGGGGAUCUUCGGACCUUGCGCGAUUGAAUGAGCCGAUGUCGGAUUAGCUAGUUGGCGGGGUAAAGGCCCACCAAGGCGACGAUCCGUAUCUGGUCUGAGAGGAUGAUCAGACACACUGGAAGUGAGACACGGUACAGACUCCUACGGGAGGAAGCAGUGGGGAAUAUUAGACAAUGGGCGCAAGCCUGAUCCAGCAAUACCGCGUGGGUGAAGAAGGACUUAGGGUUGUAAAGCCCUUUUGUUGGGAAAGAAAAGCAGCAGGUUAACACCCCGCUGUUCUGACGGUACCCAAAGAAUAAGCACCGGCUAACUUCGUG